AUGAAGAUGAAUAUCUCCUUCCCGGCCACCAGCUGCCAGAAACUCAUCCAAGUGGACGAUGAAUGCAAGCUUCGUAUGUUCUAUGAGAAGCUCACGGCCACAGAAGUACCUGCUGAUGCUCUGGGUGAAGAGUGGAAGGGCUAUGUGGUCCAAAUCAGUGGCGGGAAUGACAAACAAGGUUUUCCCAUAAAGCAAGGCACUUUGACCCAUGGCAGAGUGUGCCCUGUGUUGAGUAAGGGGCAUUCUUGUUAUAGACCAAGGAGAACUGGAGAGAGGAAGCACAAGUCUGUUUGAGGAUGCAUCGUGGAUGCCAAUCUGAGUGUUCUCAACUUUUUUAUUGUAAAAAAAGGAAUGAAGGAUAUUCCUGAACUGACAGAUACUAUUGUUCCUCGUUGGUUGAGACCUAAAAGAGCUAGCAGAAUUCGAAAGCUUUUUAAUCUCUCUAAAGACGAUGAUGUCCGCCAAUAUGUUGUAAGAAAGCCUUUAAACAAAAAAGGUAAGAAGCCCAAUUUGUCAUAACAGCCCAGGACCAAAGCGCCCAAGAUUCAGUGUCUUAUUACUCCAUGUGUCCUGCAACACAAACGGCGUCGUAUUGCUCUUAAGAAACACCGAACUAAGAAAAACAAGGAGGAGGCUGCAGAAUAUGCUAAACUUUUGGCCAAGAGAAUGAAGGAAGCCAGAGAAAGCGCCAGGAACAGAUCGCCAAGAGAUGUAGGCUGUCCUCACUGAAAGCUUCUACUUCUAAGUCUGAGUCCAGUCAAAAAUAA
This is a non-coding RNA of Cricetulus griseus (Chinese hamster), 767 nucleotides long. The record is from RefSeq and is a predicted model, not a curated record. NCBI's taxonomy places the organism in Eukaryota, Metazoa, Chordata, Mammalia, Rodentia, Cricetidae.